CAACAUCGCGUUUCUUUUGUCCCUUAUAUUAAUCGUAAUUAACCUUAGACAGUAUUCAAUUUGGCAUCUCAGAAAAGAAAUACAGUUCGCUCUACCAC
Long non-coding RNA from Haliotis rubra (blacklip abalone), 98 nucleotides. RefSeq lists it as uncharacterized. The transcript is spliced from 3 exons. The record is from RefSeq and is a predicted model, not a curated record. NCBI's taxonomy places the organism in Eukaryota, Metazoa, Mollusca, Gastropoda, Lepetellida, Haliotidae.